CUCAGUUCCCACCGCUAGGGCUGGCUGCGAGCAAGUGUAAGACCAACUCCUCAGGAGGCGAGGCCAGGGGUGCGGAGGCCGGGAAGGCGACUGCGAGGGGUGGGAGGUGGACGCUGGACUCGACCGUCUUUCUCUUCCUGUCUUGCAGCGGGGACCUGUGGCGGCCGGAGGGCUGUCAUCUCAGCCCCGGGAUUCAGAGCGCAUCGACUCCGCAGCGGAGCGGGGCACACCCCGGCUCCCGAGGCGCUGCAGGUCUCUGGCUGAAGCAACAGUAGUUUCCCUCAGCGAGGCCGCAAUUAACGUCUUAUUUGUUCUGGCUCCGUACAGGCAUUGCCGGGACCGCGGUGCGGCGACCGAGGGGGUCAUAAUCAAGAAUCACAAAAAGAACCGUAAGUGGAGAAUCCAGACUCUGGACCCUGACAACAGCACCAUCCAAAGAGGAACCAAGGAGGAACCACUUUGUUUCGUGUCUGCACUACAUUCCAUAUGAAAGCAUUGCUGACAUAUUGACUCAACAACAAAAAGAGAACAGCGGUUUACUCACCCUGGGCUCUGUGUCCUUCCUACUGAAACUGGACUGUUUUUAUUUGUUAGUUUUACAUCACCACUUCAAAUUACAAUUAUUUUCAUUGAUCUCUUUUUCAAGGCAGUGUGCAUUUCUGUGUAUACAUCUGAAUGUAUACAAACUCAUACACAUUUUAUGCAUAUACCAUAUUUGUGUAUGUAUGCCUAUAUUAUUUCCUAGUAU
This 748-nucleotide long non-coding RNA is filed under the name Oryctolagus cuniculus (rabbit). RNAcentral describes it as "lncRNA (ENSOCUG00000031237.1)". Lineage: Eukaryota; Metazoa; Chordata; Mammalia; Lagomorpha; Leporidae. The record is from RNAcentral.